GCGGGUGUAGCUCAGAGGUUAGAGCGCCGGAUUUGGCUCCGGAGGUCGAGGGUUCGAGUCCCUUCAUCCACAUCA
Molecule: transfer RNA, 75 nt
Filed under: Mesorhizobium sp. B1-1-9
Lineage: Bacteria; Pseudomonadati; Pseudomonadota; Alphaproteobacteria; Hyphomicrobiales; Phyllobacteriaceae
Also listed under: 1 other name
Description: tRNA-OTHER
Rfam family: tRNA
About the family: Transfer RNA (tRNA) molecules are approximately 80 nucleotides in length. Their secondary structure includes four short double-helical elements and three loops (D, anti-codon, and T loops).
Source: RNAcentral